UUUUUUUUUUUUUUUUUUUAAAUUCCACAUACUUACCAAACAUCUGCAUUUUUACGAAAAAUCUCAAAGCAGGAUUUCUAAUGACAGAUUAGGUAUGUAAAUUAGAAGUCUUCCCGCUGGCCCCUUUGUCUCUUAAUGCGUGGCACUCCAUCAUCUGCCAUUCUUUCCCAUCCACUCUCUUUCACCCAGUCAGAAGCUCAGCUCAAACUGACCACUAGAGGGAACAUGUGUCCUGUCCCCAACAGGGUUCUGGGUCCUGGCCUCAGGUGUCUGUAAAUUACCUGAUAGUCCCACUGGCAUUGUCACUGAGCUACUGGCCUUGGGCGUACCAGGGUGAAGGCACUGUUCCUUAGUCCCAGAUGCUGCCCCUUUCCAGUUUCUCAGUUAUGCUUUAUCUGUCUGGUCUAUACAGGAGACCAGCUGUGGUAGGAAAGUAUAAGGAGAUGCCAAGAGUGGCUUCAGAUAGAAGUGGAGAGAACACUGAACUAAAAGUCAGGAGUUUCUGAUGCUUGUCCAAUAUCUUGACAAAAAAUCAUUGUCACCUCUCUAGGCCUCAGCUUUCUCAUGUGUAAGAUGAGGGCCUUAAACUAAGUGACUCCAAGUUCCUUUUCUGGGCUAAUACCAUAUGAAUCUGAGAUCAUGAUCUCCAGACUCCCUUGAUCCUGACUUUCAGGCUAAUGCAAGCCACAGAGGAGAUAUAGGAGAUAGACUGGGGCACAGAUUGCAUUGAGGAAAAUGCAUAUGCAUAAACAAAGUUUUGCCAACAGUUCUGUAUUCUUUUGAGCACCUCUGCAAGCCCAGUUAAACACUACUGAUGUAGGGGGUUUCAACAUACCAGGGACAGCUUUAGCAAUCUUAGCAAGGUCUGCUUCUUUAAGGAAUUGUACAGAGCACCAACAAUCUGGAAGUCUUGUCCAUGACCCAUCCACAGUCUUCUCUAUAAACUCAUUAUAUAGCUUCACCAUGAUGGGGCUCCAGCUGGCAUUGAGGAGGGAGUAAUCCUUUGUAUCAGACUGGAGGUGGCUACUGCUUGAGACCUGAUAAGUCCAAAACAGGUGGUGGACUGUCCCUGGUAUUCCAAUUUGACUCAUUCAUUCAAGCAUUUACCUAAUAGAUGAGUCUAUUUUCAUCUCCCAGAGCAGGUACAAAUGCCCAGAGGUAAGAGAGAGCAUGUCAGAUUCCUAGAACUGUAAAUGUGGAAAUGUCUAGUAGGAGUGAAGAAAUGGAAGGGAGGAGGCCAGAGGGAGAGCCUGGGGCCCUCCAUCAACCAUGUAGGAGUAUGUAGGCUUUAUGCGAAGAGGUUUAAGCAGGAGAAUGAAAGGGUCAGAUUGGCAGGUUAGAAGGAUUUCUGCACAUGGGAAGUUACAGACCGGUCAAGUCUCCCUGACACUGGGGAGCCUUGCUAAUAUACAAUUCAAAGACACAUUCUUUCCCCUGCCUGUUUCCUUUCAGCUUCCAGCUCCUCUGUGCCUCCCUCUCCUGCUCCCCAGGUCCUUCAGGUUCUGCUUCUAAGAUGGUUCACCUUGUUUGACUGUGUAGUUUAUUUUAUCUACUUACUUUUGUAUUACAAUCAGAAGGCUCAACCAGAGACUCCCUUUUCUGGGAGACAGAGUAGAUGAUUGAGUCCAGAUAGCUAGCCCUCCCCACUGGGAAUUUUGGAUAAUCCAUUAUAUGACAACACCUUGUUUUAUCUUCUACCUGGUUAUUGUUUGAAUUCACUGGUGCCAAUCCGUCCUUCCUGUUCCUGGUACAGUUUCUACUUUUUCUGGUGCAUUAAUCUGGCUUACUCACAAUUCCCUCUAUAUGCUCUUCUCUACCUAAACAGAUGGAGAGAAACAUAGCUUCUUAAAUUACUUAUAAACAGACA
RNAcentral lists this long non-coding RNA (1867 nucleotides) under Macaca fascicularis (crab-eating macaque). Its description in RNAcentral is "lncRNA (ENSMFAG00000054185.1)". Lineage: Eukaryota; Metazoa; Chordata; Mammalia; Primates; Cercopithecidae. The record is from RNAcentral.